GACGAACGCUGGCGGCGUGCUUAACACAUGCAAGUCGAACGGAAAGGCCCUGCUUGCAGGGUACUCGAGUGGCGAACGGGUGAGUAACACGUGGUGAUCUGCCCUGCACUUCGGGAUAAGCCUGGGAAACUGGGUCUAAUACCGGAUAGGAGCCAUUUUUAGUGUGAUGGUUGGAAAGUUUUUUCGGUGUAGGAUGAGCUCGCGGCCUAUCAGCUUGUUGGUGGGGUAAUGGCCUACCAAGGCGGCGACGGGUAGCCGGCCUGAGAGGGUGGACGGCCACAUUGGGACUGAGAUACGGCCCAGACUCCUACGGGAGGCAGCAGUGGGGAAUAUUGCACAAUGGGCGCAAGCCUGAUGCAGCGACGCCGCGUGGGGGAUGACGGCCUUCGGGUUGUAAACUCCUUUCGCUAGGGACGAAGCUUUUUGUGACGGUACCUAGAUAAGAAGCACCGGCUAACUACGUG
RNAcentral lists this ribosomal RNA (464 nucleotides) under uncultured bacterium. RNAcentral describes it as "partial 16S ribosomal RNA". It matches the Rfam family "Bacterial small subunit ribosomal RNA", at positions 28 to 507 of the family's 1533-position model. The record is from RNAcentral.